Molecule: transfer RNA, 70 nt
Filed under: Aedes aegypti (yellow fever mosquito)
Lineage: Eukaryota; Metazoa; Arthropoda; Insecta; Diptera; Culicidae
Rfam family: tRNA
About the family: Transfer RNA (tRNA) molecules are approximately 80 nucleotides in length. Their secondary structure includes four short double-helical elements and three loops (D, anti-codon, and T loops).
Source: Rfam by way of RNAcentral
GCUUCAAAAGCUAGUAGGUAAAGUACUCGUUUAGCAUACAGGAGUCGUGGGUUCAAAUCCCACUUGGGCA